This 492-nucleotide ribosomal RNA is filed under the name uncultured bacterium. RNAcentral's name for it is "partial 16S ribosomal RNA". It matches the Rfam family "Bacterial small subunit ribosomal RNA", at positions 29 to 507 of the family's 1533-position model. The record is from RNAcentral.
AGUGAACGCUGGCGAUAGGCCUAACACAUGCAAGUCGAACGGCAGCACAGUAAGAGCUUGCUCUUACGGGUGGCGAGUGGCGGGCGGGUGAGGAAUACAUCGGAAUCUACUUUUUCGUGGGGGAUAACGUAGGGAAACUUACGCUAAUACCGCAUACGACCUACGGGUGAAAGCAGGGGAUCUUCGGACCUUGCGCGAUUGAAUGAGCCGAUGUCGGAUUAGCUAGUUGGCGGGGUAAAGGCCCACCAAGGCGACGAUCCGUAGCUGGUCUGAGAGGAUGAUCAGCCACACUGGAACUGAGACACGGUCCAGACUCCUACGGGAGGCAGCAGUGGGGAAUAUUGGACAAUGGGCGCAAGCCUGAUCCAGCCAUACCGCGUGGGUGAAGAAGGCCUUCGGGUUGUAAAGCCCUUUUGUUGGGAAAGAAAAGCAGCAGGUUAAUACCCCGCUGUUCUGACGGUACCCAAAGAAUAAGUACCGGCUAACUUCGUG